Molecule: long non-coding RNA, 899 nt
Organism: Sphaerodactylus townsendi
Lineage: Eukaryota; Metazoa; Chordata; Lepidosauria; Squamata; Sphaerodactylidae
Exons: 2
Source: RefSeq, a predicted model, not a curated record
AGUUUGAUUAAGAGUUCACUCCCUGAAGGUUCAAUAAAUGGUUUACAAACUGCCCUGCUUCAUCAGAAGAGUUGGAAGAUUCCAGCACAAGGCUACUGAGAAUUCAUAUGCAGAUCUGAGUCCUCAUCUACAAUUUCAAAUGACCCAUCUUCUGAUAUGUGGAAAGUUGCUGGUGGGUACAGCUCUGGAACAAAAAGUAUGAGAACUGUUACAAGGUGUGGACAGAAAGAGGAGUACUUUAAUCUUUUAUAAUGAAGAAGCUACAAUUGUCUUAGUAUGGAAUUUACUUCAGCCAGAACAGUUUGGGUCAGCAUUAGCUCCAUGUAAGAGCCUUCAUUAUAAAGGUCUUUGUGACUAACCUUCGGGAAAGCAGAUCAUCAAGCCAAAAGUACACUGUUCUGGAAUUUACUAUACUGCCUGUGCACCCCAAACUCUGCCUUAUUGUGCUGUUGGUGUUAUCAACUGAACUGAGGAGCAGGAUGCAAUGCAGUAUAGAAGAAGCAGGCAGAAUGUAAACCUGACACUACACCUUAGCAAGAUCCACAACUCACUUCCACAUGACACAAGCCCCAGCUGCCAAUGUCAUUUGUGGUACCUGCGCUGCACGGUGCCCAUGGAGGAAACAUGAUUCUAUUAAUGAAGUAUCGAGGAAUUUUGUAGAAAUGUGUCUAUUAUGCUAACCACUCCUGUCAGCCUGUUUCAAAAUCCCACCCUCUACUUCUCAAAACACGUACCAUACGGGAUGAAGGGGCGGUCACUUGGUGGAUGCAGUAGAAAAUGUUUCUCUCCCGAAAUCACACAGUACACAUUUUCAUAAUGGUCUUUAUGCACUAUGAUUGGGGAAAAAUUGAGGACCUACUUAAGCAUCAUGAAGUAUAUUAAAGAGAAAUGUUUCAAAA